GGGCUUUGGUUACUCAGAGCACAGGCCUUUCAACCAGGGCUGCGCUGCCAAGGACCCAGGACUACGGGGUAGGAAACACUGAGGAGUUUCUCCUACCCCAGUGCCCAUCUCUCCCAAGCAUGCCCAGGUGCACACACCUGUCUUGAGCUCCAGCCACAAACCCACUGGAAUUGGGAAAGCUUCAACAAGCCUAUGCCAGGGAACUAGGAUGGAACAUGGUUAUGGGACACCUCCAUUAGAAAGGUCCAGAGACUGCCCGAAUUUGCUUGGCUUCAGCGUCAUUCAGCCUGGGAGACAGCGCAGCACUGUAAAACUAAGAUCAUCUACCCCUUGACCACCGAGUGACCUCCCAGCUUCCAAGGAGCUCCUGUCUCCAGAGAUCUCCUGAGUUGUCUUCAACUUCGUUCAGCUGCAGGUCCUGUGGGUGUGUGGAGUCCCUGCAGGGCAGCAGCUGGGGCAGGAGACAGAGGGGAUAACCGCAAGUGGUCUAGCUUGCAAACAUUUGUGGUUUGCACACAGAACGGAUGAAGCCUCUGCCCUGGCAACUUCUACCGGGUUCUAGCGGCAUGAGAGUGUGAACUGCAUCUGACUUUUCGCACUUCCCCUGCAGAGUGAGAUGCUGUUGCACCUUCAAAGGUGUUGGUGA
RNAcentral lists this long non-coding RNA (646 nucleotides) under Homo sapiens (human). Its description in RNAcentral is "HSALNT0016183". The record is from RNAcentral. Lineage: Eukaryota; Metazoa; Chordata; Mammalia; Primates; Hominidae.